This 253-nucleotide ribosomal RNA is filed under the name uncultured bacterium. RNAcentral's name for it is "partial 16S ribosomal RNA". It matches the Rfam family "Bacterial small subunit ribosomal RNA", at positions 524 to 776 of the family's 1533-position model. The record is from RNAcentral.
UACAGAGGUCCCAAGCGUUGUUCGGAUUCAUUGGGCGUAAAGGGUGCGUAGGCGGCGCGGAAAGUCGGGUGUGAAAUCUCGGGGCUUAACUCCGAAACUGCAUUCGAUACUGCCGUGCUUGAGGACUGGAGAGGAGACUGGAAUUUACGGUGUAGCGGUGAAAUGCGUAGAUAUCGUAAGGAAGACCAGUGGCGAAGGCGGGUCUCUGGGCAGUUCCUGACGCUGAGGCGCGAAGGCCAGGGGAGCAAACGGG